UUAAGAUUUAGGAUUUGAUUAGGGUUUGAUUUAGGAUUAGGAUUUGAUUAGGAUUUGGUUUAAGAUUUAAGAUUUGGUUAGGAUUUUAUUUAGGAUUUAGGAUUAAGAAUUUGAUUAGGAUUUGAUUAGGAUUUGAUUUAGGAUUAGGAUUUGGUUAGGAUUUGAUUUAGGAUUAGGAUUUGGUUAGGAUUUGAUUUAGGAUUAGAAUUUGGUUAGGAUUUGAUUUAGGAUUUAGGAUUUGGUUUAGGAUUUAAGGUUUAAUUAGGAUUUGGUUUAGAAUUUAAGAUUUCAUUAGGAUUUGAUGUAGGAUUAGGAUUAGAUUAAGGUUUGAUUUAGGAUUAGGAUUUGAUUAGGAUUUGAUUUAGAAUUAGGAUUUGACUUAGGAUUUAGGAUUUGGUUAAGGUUUGAUUUAGAGUUAGGAUUUGAUUAAGAUUUGGUUUAGGAUUUAGAAUUUGAUUUAGGAUUUAAGGUUUGGUUAAGGUUUGAUUUAAGAUUUAGGAUUUGAUUAAGAUUUGAUUUAGGAUUUGGUUAGGAUUUGAUUUAGGGUUUAAGAUUUUAUUAGGAUUUAUUUAGGAUUUGAGAUUUAGUUAGUUUUUGGCCUAAAUUUUGAAUGAAGUCUAAUAGGAUUUUAAUUAAGAUUGAAUUGAGAUAUAUUUGUGAUCAUUUUAAUAUUUUUUUAAGAUUUCU
This 687-nucleotide long non-coding RNA is filed under the name Physcomitrium patens. RNAcentral describes it as "long non-coding RNA (PPAT_LNC006466)". The record is from RNAcentral. Lineage: Eukaryota; Viridiplantae; Streptophyta; Bryopsida; Funariales; Funariaceae.